AAACAGAUUCCUGAAGGAAUGGAAGUGUUGGUUUGUGGCAGAUUCACUGUGCCUCAGUUUCCCAUGUGAGGCUCUUGGUGGGACCUUUCCAGAGGAGUGAGGCAAGGAAGAAUGUGGAAGGAACGUCCCAUGACUAAAUCAAUGAAUCUCACCCAAACUAAUCUGAAAACAAGAGAUACAACUGUUUUCACAGCUGGGAACAAGAAGUCUCUGUCCUCAGAUCUGGGGCAGGGACUGUGCAGAGAUUAACAAAAGGACUUGUCCAGCCUUCCCAGCAGAUUGAAUUGGAACAGGACACUCUUCUCCUACUUCUUAGGUUACUCCUGUACCUGAUGACUCCCACUUUGCAAAUUGCUCACUAAUCCACAGUGGGUUCUAAACAGAAGCAAUCAAAGUUUAGGACUACUCAUCCUGAGUUGAAAGAAAUGAUGUACACUAAGUGCAUGCCUCAUAUGAGAAGUGGGCAAAUUGCUUAAGAGGAGAAGUCUAAAUCCCACCAUGGCUACUAGAAUCCCUCAACCUUCUGAGAAGUACCAAGGAGUUGUAAGUGAGGAAUAAUUGAUUUGACAUGCUUAAUCUAUUCCUUUUGCAUGGAUAUGUGUGAGCAUGUGGCAGUUUCCCCACAUCAACCAUCAAUUGAGGAAAGUUCACCUACCACAAGUCCAGUGAGAAAAAGCUUGUCUGGGCAUGAUAACAGCACAGAAACCUUUUACAUGAUCUACAAAGAACUGACUGAUGAAGAAGAGCUCUCAGCUGUGGAAGAAAACCAUGUCUUGCAGCUCUGUUUUUAGAUGUGCAAGCAGCCUCUAGAGAAGCUGGAGAAGUUUGCAGCUUCUAAAGUGGAUCUAUGUAAAGUAUUGCACUUUGAGACAAAGUGAAAGAAAAAGCAGAGAUGAUUGUUUAUAAUCACUAUCCUCACACCCUCAACUUCAGUUUCACACUCAGAAAUGGAUGUUAAGUCUUUUAAUAUUAAGGGAAGUUUCCUAAGUGGAUAUGGGAGGAGAAGAAACAGAACAGUUGCACUGCAAACUCUCUCUAUGUGCUCUCCUCUGAGUAUUCCCACAAGAUCAACACAAGCUGUGAACACUAAACUCUGUGUUUUUAAAAAUGCAAAAUCAGGAGAAUUGAGCCUGAAGCCAACCUUUGGAUCUGGAAACCACUGUAAUUUGGGGAAGACUGAAUCGGUAUCUGAACACUGUGGCUCAACCUCUUCCUAAAAUAUCACAGUUGACCUCCAUCUGCCCUCAGUGUGUCCUCUUCUCAGAUGACUGUGACUCCUCUGCUUGCUGUGGCAAACUGCUCCAGAACAAGACUGCACCAGAAGACUGUGAGACAGCAAAAAGUAGUUGAAGCCCUUUCUAACGUGAUAUCCUGCAGUAUGCUUUUUUAUUAGAGCUUGAAGGAGUUUUAAGUGAAUGACUGUUAUUAUGUCAUUAUGUCUUAUCUCUUGAAUAAAACCACAAUAAGAAUAACUGCAAAUUUCAGUGAUAUUUAUUAGCAUUGUACAAAAAUUGUAAUUUUAAAAUUAGCACCUUUACUUCUAUGAUGUAUCAUCAAGAUCUGUUGUCAGUCGCUGCCUACUGUAGUGAUUAAAUAAACAAAUAUUUCACCAUGAUUUACACCUUUUCCAAA
This is a long non-coding RNA of Corvus hawaiiensis (hawaiian crow), 1632 nucleotides long. RefSeq lists it as uncharacterized. Lineage: Eukaryota; Metazoa; Chordata; Aves; Passeriformes; Corvidae. The transcript is spliced from 6 exons. The record is from RefSeq and is a predicted model, not a curated record.